UGACCUCAAAUCAGGUAGGAUUACCCGCUGAACUUAAGCAUAUCAAUAAGCGGAGGAAAAGAAACUAACAAGGAUUCCCCUAGUAACUGCGAGUGAAGCGGGAAAAGCUCAAAUUUAAAAUCUGGCGGUCUUCGAUCGUCCGAGUUGUAGUCUGGAGAAGUGUCUUCCGCGCUGGCCCGUGUACAAGUCUCUUGGAACAGAGCGUCAUAGAGGGUGAGAAUCCCGUCUUUGACACGGACUACCAGUGCUUUGUGAUGCGCUCUCAAAGAGUCGAGUUGUUUGGGAAUGCAGCUCAAAAUGGGUGGUAAAUUCCAUCUAAAGCUAAAUAUUGGCGAGAGACCGAUAGCGAACAAGUACCGUGAGG
Molecule: ribosomal RNA, 364 nt
Filed under: Phlebia cf. floridensis
Lineage: Eukaryota; Fungi; Basidiomycota; Agaricomycetes; Polyporales; Meruliaceae
Description: partial 28S ribosomal RNA
Rfam family: Eukaryotic large subunit ribosomal RNA
Source: RNAcentral